This 810-nucleotide ribosomal RNA is filed under the name uncultured euryarchaeote. Its description in RNAcentral is "bacterial SSU rRNA". It matches the Rfam family "Archaeal small subunit ribosomal RNA", at positions 48 to 859 of the family's 1478-position model. The record is from RNAcentral. Lineage: Archaea; Methanobacteriati; Methanobacteriota.
GCCAUGCUAGUUGUACGAGUUCAGACUCGUAGCAGAUAGCUCAGUAACACGUGGCCAAACUACCCUAUGGAUCCGGACAACCUCGGGAAACUGAGGCUAAUCCGGAAUACGACUCUCAGCCUGGAAGUGGCGAGAGUCAGAAACGCCCCGGCGCCAUAGGAUGUGGCUGCGGCCGAUUAGGUAGACGGUGGGGUAACGGCCCACCGUGCCCAUAAUCGGUACGGGUUGUGAGAGCAAGAACCCGGAGACGGUAUCUGAGACAAGAUACCGGGCCCUACGGGGCGCAGCAGGCGCGAAACCUUUACACUGCACGAAAGUGCGAUAAGGGGACUCCAAGUGCGAGGGCAUAUAGUCCUCGCUUUUCACCACCGUAAGGAGGUGGUAGAAUAAGUGCUGGGCAAGACCGGUGCCAGCCGCCGCGGUAAUACCGGCAGCACGAGUGAUGACCGCUCUUAUUGGGCCUAAAGCGUCCGUAGCUGGCCACGCAAGUCUAUCGGGAAAUCCGCGCGCUCAACGCGCGGGCGUCCGGUGGAAACUGUGUGGCUUGGGACCGGAAGAUCCAGAGGGUACGUCUGGGGUAGGAGUGAAAUCCCGUAAUCCUGGACGGACCACCGGUGGCGAAAGCGCUCUGGAAAGACGGAUCCGACGGUGAGGGACGAAAGCUCGGGUCACGAACCGGAUUAGAUACCCGGGUAGUCCGAGCUGUAAACGAUGUCUGCUAGAUGUGCCACAGGCUACGAGCCUGUGGUGUGUCGUAGGGAAGCCGUGAAGCAGACCGCCUGGGAAGUACGUCCGCAAGGAUGAACUUAA